Molecule: ribosomal RNA, 1343 nt
Filed under: uncultured bacterium
Lineage: Bacteria
Description: 16S ribosomal RNA
Rfam family: Bacterial small subunit ribosomal RNA
Source: RNAcentral
GACGAACGCUGGCGGCGUGCUUAACACAUGCAAGUCGAACGGAAAGGCCCUGCUUUUGUGGGGUGCUCGAGUGGCGAACGGGUGAGUAACACGUGAGUAACCUGCCCUUGACUUUGGGAUAACUUCAGGAAACUGGGGCUAAUACCGGAUAGGAGCUCCUGCUGCAUGGUGGGGGUUGGAAAGUUUCGGCGGUUGGGGAUGGACUCGCGGCUUAUCAGCUUGUUGGUGGGGUAGUGGCUUACCAAGGCUUUGACGGGUAGCCGGCCUGAGAGGGUGACCGGCCACAUUGGGACUGAGAUACGGCCCAGACUCCUACGGGAGGCAGCAGUGGGGAAUAUUGCACAAUGGGCGGAAGCCUGAUGCAGCAACGCCGCGUGCGGGAUGACGGCCUUCGGGUUGUAAACCGCUUUCGCCUGUGACGAAGCGUGAGUGACGGUAAUGGGUAAAGAAGCACCGGCUAACUACGUGCCAGCAGCCGCGGUGAUACGUAGGGUGCGAGCGUUGUCCGGAUUUAUUGGGCGUAAAGGGCUCGUAGGUGGUUGAUCGCGUCGGAAGUGUAAUCUUGGGGCUUAACCCUGAGCGUGCUUUCGAUACGGGUUGACUUGAGGAAGGUAGGGGAGAAUGGAGUUCCUGGUGGAGCGGUGGAAUGCGCAGAUAUCAGGAGGAACACCAGUGGCGAAGGCGGUUCUCUGGGCCUUUCCUGACGCUGAGGAGCGAAAGCGUGGGGAGCGAACAGGCUUAGAUACCCUGGUAGUCCACGCUGUAAACGGUGGGUACUAGGUGUGGGGUCCAUUCCACGGGUUCCGUGCCGUAGCUAACGCUUUAAGUACCCCGCCUGGGGAGUACGGCCGCAAGGCUAAAACUCAAAGGAAUUGACGGGGCCCCGCACAAGCGGCGGAGCAUGCGGAUUAAUUCGAUGCAACGCGUAGAACCUUACCUGGGUUUGACAUGGAUCGGGAGUGCUCAGAGAUGGGUGUGCCUCUUUUGGGGUCGGUUCACAGGUGGUGCAUGGCUGUCGUCAGCUCGUGUCGUGAGAUGUUGGGUUAAGUCCCGCAACGAGCGCAACCCUUGUUCACUGUUGCCAGCUCGUUAUGGUGGGGACUCAGUGGAGACCGCCGGGGUCAACUCGGAGGAAGGUGGGGAUGACGUCAAGUCAUCAUGCCCCUUAUGUCCAGGGCUUCACGCAUGCUACAAUGGCAGGUACAGAGAGUGGCGAGCCUGUGAGGGUGAGCGAAUCUCGGAAAGCCGGUCUCAGUUCGGAUUGGGGUCUGCAACUCGACCUCAUGAAGUCGGAGUCGCUAGUAAUCGCAGAUCAGCAACGCUGCGGUGAAUACGUUCCCGGG